UGCUGGCUAUUUUAGGAAACUUGGUGAUCAGCGUUUCUCUAAAUAUUCAGAAAUAUUCUCACCUUCAGCUGGCACAACAAGAGCACCCAAGGCCGUACUUCAAGAGUGUGCUGUGGUGGGGUGGUGUCCUGCUGAUGGCCGUGGGAGAGAUGGGGAACUUUGCAGCCUAUGGAUUUGCUCCCAUUACUCUGAUUGCUCCGUUAGGCUGUGUGUCUGUUACAGGUAGUGCCAUUAUUUCUGUUACAUUUCUGAAAGACAAUUUGAGAGCCUCAGACUUACUAGGUACGACACUGGCAUUUGCAGGAACAUAUCUACUGGUGAACUUUGCUCCAAAUAUAACUCAGGCAAUCUCAGCAAGAACAGUACAGUAUUACCUUGUCGGAUGGCAGUUCCUGAUCUAUGUGAAAAGAAAGGAAGGAAGAUUUGAGAAGCCCAGGGUAUACCAGCCAGAGAAGAAUAAAGUGCACUCACUAAAACAGCCUUUCCCAGCCUGUCUGCCGCAGACGAGCAAUCCCCAUCCUUGCCAAAACACAAAGAGGAGUGGGGUUUUCAAGGUCAAACUAGGUGAGAAAGAUUCU
RNAcentral lists this small RNA (578 nucleotides) under Pongo abelii (Sumatran orangutan). RNAcentral describes it as "processed transcript". Lineage: Eukaryota; Metazoa; Chordata; Mammalia; Primates; Hominidae. The record is from RNAcentral.